This is a long non-coding RNA of Drosophila guanche, 1148 nucleotides long. RefSeq lists it as uncharacterized. The transcript has 3 exons. The record is from RefSeq and is a predicted model, not a curated record. Lineage: Eukaryota; Metazoa; Arthropoda; Insecta; Diptera; Drosophilidae.
GAUGGACGUACAUACAUAUAGAUAGGUUGCUGUGCAUGAGUUUACCUGUGGGCCACAGUCCUUUUUUACCUAAUGAGCACGUGUAACGGAACAUGCAGCGGUGAUGAAAUACCUGGAACAAUUGGCUAAUUACAGACCAAAUGACCAAGAAAACAUCUUCAUCCAUGACAUGCAAGAGUGCAGUCAAAGCCCCGCACCUGGGACGACCUCCUGACCAAGACCACAUAGACGACCAAGCGAGCCUCAAUGUGAUAACAGUUUAUCAGCUGCGCAUUUUUAAAAUGUACAAGUAUCUACAUAUGUAUGUACAUUUGUACACAUGUAUCUACAUAUGCAUGUACAUACAUAUGAAUGUCAACCUCACACAUGUGUUAUGUAUAAUAUUCCUCUAAAAAAAGGGAAUGCGAAUGCAAAAUCAGAUAGGAUGGGUUCACCACUGACGAUCAAAUAUCUAACCUAGUGAAUCAAAUAGAUGAUGUCGUGAUGACUGCUGAGAACUCCGAAAAACAUUGCAGCUGGAGGAUAUGCAGUAGCGUAACCCUGAACGUCUCUGCCCCCACGCAGGCCAGGCGACUCCACUGCUAACUGAUUACACAAACGUUAACGACACCCGAAGAGCGGAGCAUAGCUGUCAGGGUUUAUCAGCGCUCUGCCUGUGCCCGUUGUGGGGGGCAAAAACAACUGAAAAACACUUUCACGCUCGCAGGGCAAUGGGCAAUGGGAGAGGGGACUUCCAGACUCACAAGGGGAGAUGCCGUUAAUUGGGAAUGCAUUUAGUCCAUAUAUGUAUGUACAUACUUAUGUACAUGCAUACAUAUGUAUGUAGCUGCACUUAAGAAAUACAGUAUUUUGUGAAGGUGAAGGCUCAGCCAGAGACAAAUGACGUUGGCAGACUUUAAGGCAGCUCGGAAAACGGCAAACAGAAAACAUAAAGAUAAGUGUGACGCUAACCUAACCAGUGAUUAAACAGCGAUUACUACUCGAAUAUUGAACUGAAACGACUCGAUCAGCUGAUUCUCUUGCACCUAACUAAUAUCGAUAUUCGAUUCUAAGCCCUAUACUCUUUCGCUCUCGCUAGCUCUUUCGCUCAGCUGUGCAGUGUAUUGUUUUGUUUUAUUUUUUUUGCACUGGGGUGCAGAGAAAUAAAG